CUUGAGUACUUACACUUUGCUUGGACAUAACAUAGAUGAUGAGGUAUGGUGAUACUUAAUGUAGAAGAAGCAAUAUUUCACGUUCUUCUCUCCAUGACAGUCAUGUAUGCGGUACUUGGCAAGAAAGAAAGAGACGUCUAAUUGGUGGAAGCAGAGGCCACGUUUCCCUAAGAGGCAAGAUUACCAUGCUUUAAAUGCAGAAUCCCAUACAUCUCAUGUACUUACUCAGACAAAGAAGAAGUGGGCCACUUGGGGCAGUCCUGGCUUCAGAUGGGCCAAUUCAGAGAGGCAUCAGUGUAUGCGUGCAUGAGGCAUCUAGAAUUACAGUGGAAGGCUGUGAUAACAGGUGGAAAGGAUACAAAGCCUUUGGGGACAGUAGAAGAAAGAUUCGGAGUGGGAAUGAGGAACGUCAGAUUCUACUUGUCUUGUUGCUACAGUAACUAGAAUCGUGUCACCUUGAGCAAGUCACUUUACCUCCCUUGUCCUCAACUGCCUUAAUAUGUAAUAAGGCCAUUUGAGUCAGCAGACAUUUGUGACCCUUUCUGACUUUAAAAUGUG
Molecule: long non-coding RNA, 558 nt
Filed under: Equus caballus (horse)
Lineage: Eukaryota; Metazoa; Chordata; Mammalia; Perissodactyla; Equidae
Description: lncRNA (ENSECAG00000047731.1)
Source: RNAcentral